AGCAACGAUAAACGAUUCAGAGCGCGGUUCGAUGGCUAUUAUAUUACACUGUCGAAGCCACAGUGUGUCGCGUCGUGUCGCGCUGUUCACGCCUAGUAAAUUUAUGUGCCUGAUAACGAAAAAAAAAAUGGAAAUUUUUUCAACGUUUCAAACCAUUUUUAGGGAAUUUUUUUUUUUUUUUUUGUUUCUUUCGAUUUUUCCUCGGCCGUUCACAGCCGCGCACAAGCGUUUUAUACACCCACGCGUGUAUGACGUUAUUGUACAACACGGUACUGCAUAGCCGUUGGCGCGCGAUGAUAAUACGAUAUUUUCACAUCGUUACAUCGAAAAAUGACGUAUCGGAUUACGUUUUGUUUUUUUUCAUUUUUUUUUUUUUUUUUUUUUUUUGGUGUUUUAUUUGCGGCGGGAACGGCGACGGGGCUCUCACCACCGCACGUUAUUAUUUUAUACGGUCGCGCCGGCGGCCGCCGCGGUUAUCGGCUCGUAUCAUAUAAUAUUAUUUUUACGCGGCUCAUUUUCGUUCCGAGAAAACAAAUCGAUACUAUCGGUACGGUGAUUUUUCGGGGUUUUUUUUUUUUUUGUUUUUUGUUUUUCACGGCACCCGCCGGCCGGUAUCGAUGCGCGAGAAACGCGAAGUUUUCCGCGCAAUUUUUCUGUUUUUGACAGACCGACAGGAAGCGGCUGUACUGUACACGUUUUAAUCUCGCGAAAUUUACACCCCGUACGUCGGGCGAUCCAUUCGAGCGGGUACGCCGCUCCGUCAUCUCGGAGGAGGAAAGUAUUCGCUUUCCCCUCCCCCCCCACCGGUAUUUCGCCGCUAGAAGAACAUUUAAACAACAAGCAGCUCUACGAUUUUAUAUUCCUGUUGCGUGUCACGAUUUUAUUCGGGAACAAAUCG
Non-coding RNA from Cinara cedri, 898 nucleotides. Lineage: Eukaryota; Metazoa; Arthropoda; Insecta; Hemiptera; Aphididae. The record is from the annotation of a GenBank genome assembly.